GAAUUUAAAAGAUUUUGACAAAAUAUAGUUCAAUUCCAAUAAGUGCUUUAACAUUUUAAGGUGUUUCUAUUUCGUUGCUGUUCUAGGGGCUCCAUUUUAUACCUUCUAAUCCGAUUUGCGUGCAUUGAACUACUUUUGAGGUGUGUGUGCGUUUUGAAAUUGAGAGUGUGUAUGUGUGUCUUAAGUUUUAAUAACUAUAUUAUUCUUUUAAUUGUUAAAUUAUGACUGUAAUUACCGUAAAGUAACAAAAUAAAUAAAAAAUCACCCCAACAUAACUACAUACACCACUUAAACGUUUAUGGGAUUACAAAAGCAAUUAACCACAGUUUUAAUGUCUGGUGAACAUCAAACAAACGCAACUAUUUAACAAUUUAUUUGGCUGAAAAAACCUCAAUAAACCAUAUAAAACAAGUGGCAAAAGAGGCUGUUACUUGAAAAAGAAAAUACAACCAUAAAAAAUUACAAAAAAAAACAAAACGUGACAAAUAACAAUAUAACGAUAAUAACAACAUUCCAGGAAGAUAUUUAAUUAAAUAACAAAAAAAUUUUGAUUUAAAAAACAGCAGUAUUGUCAUGUUAAUUAGAUAUAUAUAAAAAAAGAAGAUAUAACAACAAACAACAAUAAAAACUAUUCGCUUUUAAUUAAUUAAAAACAAUAAAUCAUUAAGUCAUUGAUUUCAUUAACAAAAUCAAUAGCACUUGUCAAUUGAUGAAGAGUUUCAAGACAAAGAAAUUAUAACAACAAAAUAGCUAAGAAAAUGUGAAUGAAACAGUUAGUUUGCAAAGAAAAGAGCGAUAGAGAGAGAGAGCGAGAGUGUGAGGAGGAAAAGAAAGCUAGAAAAACUGGUUGUUUACAUUUUUCACAGUCUCUCAAAUAAACAAACACACAUGCAUAACAAAAAGAGAUUCUUUCUUUCUUCUUGUUAUUGUUGAUGUUGUUUUUGCUGUUAACUUGAGCGCAGAGUAAAAGUAUUUGGUAUGUGCGUUUAAAUGUUUGUAUGUUGAUUGUUGUUUAAACAUCCAGUAACCUUUUGCCGGCCAUUAAGCCUGUUAAAUACUGCAUUUACAUUUUCAUUUCAUUUAAAAAUACAGGAAGCUUUUUUCAACAACAAUUUUUACUUUUAUUUGUAACAAGAAACAAAGAAAAAAACAAACAA
Molecule: long non-coding RNA, 1157 nt
Organism: Calliphora vicina (urban bluebottle blowfly)
Lineage: Eukaryota; Metazoa; Arthropoda; Insecta; Diptera; Calliphoridae
Exons: 2
Source: RefSeq, a predicted model, not a curated record